This 273-nucleotide long non-coding RNA is filed under the name Elaeis guineensis (African oil palm). Its description in RNAcentral is "long non-coding RNA (EGUI_LNC062926)". The record is from RNAcentral. Lineage: Eukaryota; Viridiplantae; Streptophyta; Magnoliopsida; Arecales; Arecaceae.
GGGUUUAGGGUUAAGGGGUUUAGGGUUUAGAGCUUGGGGUUUAGGGUCUGGGGUUUGGGGUUUAGGGUUUUAGGGUUUAGGGUUUAAGUUUUAGGAUUUAGGUUUUACAUUUUAGGGUUUAGGGGUUUAGGGUUUAGGGUUUAGGGUUUAGGGUUUAGGAUUUAAGGGUUUAGGGUUUAGGGUUUAGGGUUUAGGGUUUUAGGGUUUACGGUUUAGGGUUUAGGGUUCAGGGUUUAGGGGUUUAGGGUUUUUAGGGUUUAGGGUUUAGGGUUU